This 1367-nucleotide long non-coding RNA is filed under the name Anas platyrhynchos platyrhynchos (common mallard). RNAcentral's name for it is "lncRNA (ENSAPLG00000017629.1)". The record is from RNAcentral. Lineage: Eukaryota; Metazoa; Chordata; Aves; Anseriformes; Anatidae.
ACUGGGUAAAUUCACCCAUAAUUUGGGUAAAUUCACCUGAAACCGGGUAAAUUUACCCCCAGUCCAGGGAAAUUCACUCUAGAACUGGGCAAAUUCAUCCCUAAACUGGGAAAAUUAAUGCACAAACUGGGUAAUUUCACCCCUAAACUGGGUAAAUUCAACUGAAAACGGGUAAAUUUACCCCCAAACCAUGGAAAUUCACCCUCAAAUUGGGAAAAUUUACCCCCAAACCAGGGAAAUUCACCCUAGAACCGAGAAAAUUCACCCCUAAACUGGGUAAAUUGACCUGAAACAGGGUAAAUUUACCCCUACACCAGGGAAAUUUACCCCAACCAUGGAAAAUUCACCCCAAAACGAUCUCGGGAGCCUCCCGGGAAGGGGUCCCACAUUGGGGGGGGGGGACACCCAGGGCCGGACGGACGGAUGGACGGGCGCGGGGCGUUUUUAAAAAAAAAAAAGAGAUGCGUUUAUUCCAUGAUCGGUACAGACCAGAUGCAUAUUCACUGUAGGAAAUAAAACCAUCGAGUUACUCCAGAGCUCGCCCAAUACUGACGCGCCAGGAUUGUACUGUAUAGUGGGUAUUUAUGGCACAUAACGUCGAACAGUUCCAAGAAUAAAAUUAAAUCGAAGAACGCGCGCCGCCGCCCGCGGAGGUGGGGGGGAAGCCCCCCAAUGCCCGCGGUGGCAGUCGGUAUAAAAACCUUUUUUUUUUUUUUUUUCUCAACUUUUUCCUUUUUCUUCUUUUUUUUUUUUUUUUUUGUUUUUUUUUUUUGUUUUUUUUUUUUUUUUUGUUGUUUUUUUUUUGGCGGGGGGGGGGGGGGGUGGUUGGUGUUUCGAAAGAGUCAGGAGGAGGAAAACGAGGCGCUGUUAGAAAAGGUUCUCUUCGAAUAUUGCCAACAAGUCGCUCUGGAAAUUCAUGUCGAUCGUAGCUGCCAUCUGCGGGGAGAGGAGGAAGGGGGCGUCAAGGGGGCGCCGAGGACGUCAGGGUGGCAUUGGGGGCAUCAAGGUGACAUUGGGGGCAUCAAGGUGGCAUUAGGGGCAUCAGGGUGGCAUUGGGGGCAUUGGGGUGGCAUUGGGUUGGCAUUGGGGGCAUCAGGGUGGCACCAAGGGAGUCAAGGUGGCAUUGGGGGCAUUGGGGUGGCAUUGGGGGCAUCAAGGUGGAAUUGGGGGCAUCAAGGUGGCACCAAGGGAGUCAAGGUGGCAUUGGGGGCAUCGGGGUGGCACUGGGGGCAUCAAGGACAUCAUGGUGGCAUUAGGGGCAUCAGGGUGGCACAGGGGGCAUCUAAGUGGCACCAGGGACAUCAAGGUUGCACCAAGAGAGUCAAGGUGGCAUUGGGGACGUCAAAGUGGCACCAAGGAUGUUAAGG